Molecule: ribosomal RNA, 253 nt
Filed under: uncultured bacterium
Lineage: Bacteria
Description: partial 16S ribosomal RNA
Rfam family: Bacterial small subunit ribosomal RNA
Source: RNAcentral
GACGUAGGGCGCGAGCGUUGUCCGGAUUUAUUGGGCGUAAAGAGCUCGUAGGCGGCUCGUUGCGUCGGCUGUGAAAACCGGCAGCUCAACUGUGGGCUUGCAGCCGAUACGGGCGGGCUUGAGUUCGGUAGGGGAGACUGGAAUUCCUGGUGUAGCGGUGAAAUGCGCAGAUAUCAGGAAGAACACCCGUGGCGAAGGCGGCUCUCUGGGACGGUACUGACGCUGAGACGCGAAAGCGUGGGGAGCGAACAGG